GACGAACGCUGGCGGCGUGCUUAACACAUGCAAGUCGAACGGAAAGGCCCCUUUGGGGGUACUCGAGUGGCGAACGGGUGAGUAACACGUGAGUAACCUGCCCUUGACUUCGGGAUAACUUCAGGAAACUGGGGCUAAUACCGGAUAGGAAUCCUUGCUGCAUGGUGGGGGUUGGAAAGCUUCGGCGGUUUUGGAUGGACUUGCGGCUUAUCAGCUUGUUGGUGGGGUAGUGGCUUACCAAGGCUUUGACGGGUAGCCGGCCUGAGAGGGCGACCGGCAACAUUGGGACUGAGAUACGGCCCAGACUCCUACGGGAGGCAGCAGUGGGGAAUAUUGCACAAUGGGCGGAAGCCUGAUGCAGCAACGCCGCGUGCGGGAUGACGGCCUUGGGGUUGUAAUCCGCUUUCAGCAGGGGCGAAGCUUGUGGUGACGGUACCUGCAGAAGAAGCACCGGCUAACUACGUG
RNAcentral lists this ribosomal RNA (465 nucleotides) under uncultured bacterium. RNAcentral's name for it is "partial 16S ribosomal RNA". It matches the Rfam family "Bacterial small subunit ribosomal RNA", at positions 28 to 507 of the family's 1533-position model. The record is from RNAcentral.